This 500-nucleotide ribosomal RNA is filed under the name uncultured bacterium. RNAcentral's name for it is "partial 16S ribosomal RNA". It matches the Rfam family "Bacterial small subunit ribosomal RNA", at positions 30 to 523 of the family's 1533-position model. The record is from RNAcentral.
AUUGAACGCUGGCGGCAUGCCUUACACAUGCAAGUCGAACGGCAGCACGGGAGCAAUCCUGGUGGCGAGUGGCGAACGGGUGAGUAAUGUAUCGGAACGUGCCCAGUCGUGGGGGAUAACGUAGCGAAAGCUACGCUAAUACCGCAUACGAUCUAUGGAUGAAAGCGGGGGACCGUAAGGCCUCGCGCGAUUGGAGCGGCCGAUAUCAGAUUAGGUAGUUGGUGGGGUAAAGGCCUACCAAGCCGACGAUCUGUAGCUGGUCUGAGAGGACGACCAGCCACACUGGGACUGAGACAAGGCCCAGACUCCUACGGGAGGCAGCAGUGGGGAAUUUUGGACAAUGGGCGCAAGCCUGAUCCAGAAAUGCCGCGUGCAGGAUGAAGGCCUUCGGGUUGUAAACUGCUUUUGUACGGAGCGAAAAGGCUCUCUCUAAUACAGGGGGCUCAUGACGGUACCGUAAGAAUAAGCACCGGCUAACUACGUGCCAGCAGCCGCCGUAA